Molecule: ribosomal RNA, 376 nt
Filed under: uncultured bacterium
Lineage: Bacteria
Description: bacterial SSU rRNA
Rfam family: Bacterial small subunit ribosomal RNA
Source: RNAcentral
UAAUACGUAGGGGGCGAGCGUUGUCCGGAUUUAUUGGGCGUAAAGAGCGUGUAGGCGGCCAGGUAGGUCUGCUGUGAAAACUCGAGGCUCAACCUCGAGAGGUCGGCGGAAACCAUCUGGCUAGAGUCCGGAAGAGGAGAGUGGAAUUCCUGGUGUAGCGGUGAAAUGCGCAGAUAUCAGGAAGAACACCCGUGGCGAAGGCGGCUCUCUGGGACGGUACUGACGCUGAGACGCGAAAGCGUGGGGAGCAAACAGGAUUAGAUACCCUGGUAGUCCACGCCGUAAACGAUGGGUGCUAGGUGUGGGCGGUGUCGACUCCGUCCGUGCCGAAGCUAACGCAUUAAGCACCCCGCCUGGGGAGUACGGCCGCAAGGCU